Long non-coding RNA from Lutra lutra (Eurasian river otter), 134 nucleotides. RefSeq lists it as uncharacterized. The record is from RefSeq and is a predicted model, not a curated record. Lineage: Eukaryota; Metazoa; Chordata; Mammalia; Carnivora; Mustelidae. The transcript has 3 exons.
UGGAAAACUACUGCUCUCCUCUCCACGCAGUGGCCACCCACCCCAGGUCACUACAAUGAGGCGUAAUUACCAUCUCACACCUCCAAACAUCACAAGAGAGAUUCUCUGCUCCCACUAAUAACACGCUUGGGCAA